CUCGAGGCCAGAUCUUUCCGGUUGAUCCUGCCGGACCUGACUGCUAUCGGAUUGAUACUAAGCCAUGCGAGUCUUUGUAGCAAUACAAGGCAGACGGCUCAGUAACACGUAGUCAAUCUACCCUAUGGACGGGGAUAACCUCGGGAAACUGAGAAUAAUACCCGAUAGAUCAUUAUGCCUGGAAUGGUUUAUGGUCGAAAUGAUUUAUCGCCGUAGGAUGGGACUGCGGUCUAUCAGCCUGUUGGUGAGGUAAUGGCCCACCAAGGCUAUAACAGAUACGGGCUCUGAGAGGAGAAGCCCGGAGAUGGGUACUGAGACACGGACCCAGGCCCUAUGGGGCGCAGCAGGCGAGAAAACUUUGCAAUGUGCGAAAGCACGACAAGGUUAAUCCGAGUGUUUUCUGCUAAAGAAAUCUUUUGUCAGUCCUAAAAACACUGAUGAAUAAGGGGUGGGCAAGUUCUGGUGUCAGCCGCCGCGGUAAAACCAGCACCUCAAGUGGUCAGGAGGAUUAUUGGGCCUAAAGCAUCCGUAGCCGGCCGUGUAAGUUUUCGGUUAAA
Molecule: ribosomal RNA, 557 nt
Filed under: uncultured archaeon
Lineage: Archaea
Description: bacterial SSU rRNA
Rfam family: Archaeal small subunit ribosomal RNA
Source: RNAcentral